AUUUUUUUCUCCAGAGCGCUCCAUUCGUCCAGAAUCUCCGAAGGACUCGCCGCCGCCGCCGCUGCUGAAUCGAUGUAUUCUCCUCCCGUGGUGCAACUUGGCGGUGAGUUUGUAUUUGAUCCUGCAUGUUGGCCGCGAGUUGAGAUCAACAAUGACCAUGAUAUUAUCCAAGUUGUUCAAUGCAGAAAGUUCUGUUGUUCGAGUACCUUAUCUUGACUGAAAAUACAAUAAUGCAGUUCUUGCAAGUUGUUCAAAGCAGGUGUGAUAUGCUCUGUUGAAUUUAUUUAGAUGAAAUAUGUUCAUAAUUAAAAGCAUUCAUGCCUGGAUCAACCCCCUAUGGCCUCAAAAAUUUCUUACGUUUUUUUUAGCAAACAAAGAGUUGCUCACUGUGAUUCUAAUAAUGGCAUAUCCUACAUCAGAUGUGUGCUGAGAUCUUCAUUCUGUGCACCCACACCCCACCCCCAACCCUCUUCCACCGUGGGAUGCAUUUUAGGUUUUCUAGUCAACACUCAUUCUUAGGUCUCCUUUAUAAUACCUCUUUCAUAAUUGUUUUAUCAUUUUUAUUUUUUGCUUUUGUAGGAUCAUUGCCUGGUGGACUUAUUACACAGAUGGAAGGAGGAUACGUUUCCUGUGGAUAUCUUUUGUGUCAUAAGGUUGAGAGAGUUUCUCAAAGAGAUACCUUACAAAGCUUUGUGCAGAAAUUGGAAAUCCUUAAAAGUAAUGUUUGGCACAGGCAAUAAAAUCGUACUGUUAACCUCGAAUGCUACCUUAUGAAUCAAACAAGAUCAUUGUGUUCUGAAGGAGCUCGCCUUCCUUACACCAGAUAUCUGGACUGCCAAAGUGGCCCCUUUCAUAAGGGAUGACCGCUGCAUCAUUUCUUGCUUCUCUUUGCACCCUCAGUUUCAAUGCUGCAGCUCCUCGUA
Phoenix dactylifera (date palm) is the source of this 923-nucleotide non-coding RNA. The record is from RefSeq and is a predicted model, not a curated record. Lineage: Eukaryota; Viridiplantae; Streptophyta; Magnoliopsida; Arecales; Arecaceae.